Molecule: long non-coding RNA, 482 nt
Organism: Oncorhynchus tshawytscha (Chinook salmon)
Lineage: Eukaryota; Metazoa; Chordata; Actinopteri; Salmoniformes; Salmonidae
Source: Ensembl
CCUGUUCACCCCGAUGUCAUCCAGAAGGCGAAAGACGAUGAUGUCAUCCUUCAUCAAACAUGUCCAUACAAAGACCAACCAUCCAACCUUCAGGAUAGUCAGACAGGGCAUCUCCAGAAGAAGAUUGAGGGGCUUUACCUCAGUGUGAACCAGAGGAAACACUACCUCUACUGUUUGACAGACGGCAACAAGAGAAGGCAUCAGAUUCUGAGAAAAAUUGUUGAGGACAAGGCAGCCUUGACAGCUGCCAUUGUUCAACUUCCCACACAGUAGGCAGAGUUUAGGCUCCCCACAGUGGAUGAGCUGCUCAAUACUGACAACUUUUUGUGGCCAUGGGAGAGACCUAGCACCACCAUCUUGCCAUCAAAAAGGCAAUCUUCAACAGACUGAUGUUGGUGAACAGACUGCAGGAGGAAGAGAGGGUCCUGGUGCAGGAGAUGAAGAGGCACUGGGGAGCCUACAAAGUACAGGGGGAACUCUGG